This 390-nucleotide long non-coding RNA is filed under the name Salvia miltiorrhiza (redroot sage). Its description in RNAcentral is "long non-coding RNA (SMIL_LNC009749)". Lineage: Eukaryota; Viridiplantae; Streptophyta; Magnoliopsida; Lamiales; Lamiaceae. The record is from RNAcentral.
GUGCAGCAAGUGAGGUGAUGGGAGGCCUUUCGGCUGCCCGGCCAAUGGGAAGAGCUGUUGCUGCAGCUUGAUGGGAGGCCUUUCGGCUGCCCAGCCAUAGGGAAGAGCUGUUGCUGCAGCACCUUUUUCACCUUUUCAUUUCUCCCUUUUUUCCUUUUUUUUUUNAAUUAUGGCGUUGGCAGGUGGCAGGAUAGGGUGGCGUGGGUGGUGAUGUGAUCUAAGAGAAAAAGAUCUAAGUAAAAUCCUUCAAUGUUGAUUUCUCUGUAUUUGAAAUACAGGUUUCGCUUUUCUGCUAAAAUCGAUAAAGGCUAAAUUAAAUUCGUAGAUUUAAUUCAUUCGACAUUCUAAUUCUUAAAUUAAAUCCGUAGAUUUAAUUAACUUCAAAGUCGG